This is a long non-coding RNA of Fundulus heteroclitus (mummichog), 332 nucleotides long. RefSeq lists it as uncharacterized. Lineage: Eukaryota; Metazoa; Chordata; Actinopteri; Cyprinodontiformes; Fundulidae. The transcript is spliced from 3 exons. The record is from RefSeq and is a predicted model, not a curated record.
AUGUACCUCAGAGACGAUGUGCAUAACAGCAAGCAUCCAAGGAACUCAAAUGGGAUCUUCAGUGGCACAAAUCUACAAAGCCUGUGCACCAUCCACUCUGUGUCCGGCCACAGUCAGUCAGACAUUUUCAGUCAACUUGGAUUAUCAAAGUGCAAUUGCAAAUGCUCAGUGCUGUAACACAGAUGACUGUAACUCAGAAACUCUGCCUUUCCUAGUCCGUCCUGCUCCGACAUCUGACUCGCCCCAGUGCAAUGUUUGUAACCCAGUCACUUUAGACUGCACCUCUACAAUAUCAUGUACAGAAACAGAGACCAACUGCCUAAGAGCAACAU